Molecule: transfer RNA, 73 nt
Filed under: Frederiksenia canicola
Lineage: Bacteria; Pseudomonadati; Pseudomonadota; Gammaproteobacteria; Pasteurellales; Pasteurellaceae
Also listed under: 1 other name
Description: tRNA-Ala
Rfam family: tRNA
About the family: Transfer RNA (tRNA) molecules are approximately 80 nucleotides in length. Their secondary structure includes four short double-helical elements and three loops (D, anti-codon, and T loops). Further hydrogen bonds mediate the characteristic L-shaped molecular structure. tRNAs have two regions of fundamental functional importance: the anti-codon, which is responsible for specific mRNA codon recognition, and the 3' end, to which the tRNAs corresponding amino acid is attached (by aminoacyl-tRNA synthetases). tRNAs cope with the degeneracy of the genetic code in two manners: having more than one tRNA (with a specific anti-codon) for a particular amino acid; and 'wobble' base-pairing, i.e. permitting non-standard base-pairing at the 3rd anti-codon position.
Source: RNAcentral
GGGGAUAUAGCUCAGUUGGGAGAGCGCUUGCAUGGCAUGCAAGAGGUCAUCGGUUCGAUCCCGUUUAUCUCCA